CCUUGACAUGCAGAGAACUUUCCAGAGAUGGAUUGGUGCCUUCGGGAACUCUGACACAGGUGCUGCAUGGCUGUCGUCAGCUCGUGUCGUGAGAUGUUGGGUUAAGUCCCGUAACGAGCGCAACCCUUGUCCUUAGUUACCAGCACGUUAUGGUGGGCACUCUAAGGAGACUGCCGGUGACAAACCGGAGGAAGGUGGGGGAUGACGUCAAGUCAUCAUGGCCCUUACGGCCUGGGCUACACACGUGCUACAAUGGUCGGUACAAAGGGUUGCCAAGCCGCGAGGUGGAGCUAAUCCCAUAAAACCGAUCGUAGUCCGGAUCGCAGUCUGCAACUCGACUGCGUGAAGUCGGAAUCGCUAGUAAUCGUGAAUCAGAAUGUCACGGUGAAUACGUUCCCGGGCCUC
Molecule: ribosomal RNA, 405 nt
Filed under: uncultured Pseudomonas sp.
Lineage: Bacteria; Pseudomonadati; Pseudomonadota; Gammaproteobacteria; Pseudomonadales; Pseudomonadaceae
Description: bacterial SSU rRNA
Rfam family: Bacterial small subunit ribosomal RNA
Source: RNAcentral